This 497-nucleotide ribosomal RNA is filed under the name uncultured bacterium. RNAcentral's name for it is "partial 16S ribosomal RNA". It matches the Rfam family "Bacterial small subunit ribosomal RNA", at positions 28 to 507 of the family's 1533-position model. The record is from RNAcentral.
GAUGAACGCUGGCGGCGUGCCUAAUACAUGCAAGUCGAGCGAACGGACGAGAAGCUUGCUCCUCUGACGUUAGCGGCGGACGGGUGAGUAACACGUGGAUAACCUACCUAUAAGACUGGGAUAACUUCGGGAAACCGGAGCUAAUACCGGAUAAUAUUUUGAACCGCAUGGUUCAAUAGUGAAAGACGGUUUUGCUGUCACUUAUAGAUGGAUCCGCGCUGCAUUAGCUAGUUGGUAAGGUAACGGCUUACCAAGGCAACGAUGCAUAGCCGACCUGAGAGGGUGAAAGGGCAAAAAGGAAAUGAGAAAAGGUGCAGAAUCCGACGGGAGGCAGGAGGAAGGAAUCGUCCGCAAUGGGCGAAAGCCUGACGGAGCAAAGCAGCGUGAGUGAUGAAGGUCUUCGGAUCGUAAAACUCUGUUAUUAGGGAAGAACAAAUGUGUAAGUAACUAUGCACGUCUUGACGGUACAUAAUCAGAAAGCCACGGCGAACUACGUG